AAGAGCCGGCUCCUCUUGGUAAGCUGAGCCAAAUGAUCUGGCUCGCUAAAAAGAGCCGGAAUUCCCAUCACUAGCUCGAGCUCUGCGCUAAUAACGGCUGUUAGCACCUUGCUAGCUAGUUUUAUCCAGAAAGACGCUCAACAACUCUCCAUAAUAUCUCUAUAAAUACAUUUAUGAUCAACUUGACGCGUUCUCAGACUCAUAACGUCAUCUGCGUGUCUGCUAACUUCCAGGAUGUGAACACACGACGGAGCGAUGUCGAGCUAACCUUUAACUAAGUCAGAGUAGAUGUUGCUAAGCGACGCGGCGGCUGUAUGAACACAGAGACGUUGUAGUGUGACGGUGUGGUAACUAGUCUGGUGUGUUAAAGGUGUGUAGGAGAAGAAGAAGUCUCAACACUCACAGUUUGACAACAUUCUCAACAACAGCGGCCAUCUUGGUCUGAUCCACCACGGGUAGAGCAGCGUGGGGAUGUGGAGCCCUCAGAGCGGACUGGUAGGCAGACAGAGGAGCUGUGGGUGUGUGGAGCCCUCAGACAGGACUGAGAUUACAAGCUGUGAUGAAGCUCUCACUGACGGUUCUCUGUCGGUGCUCUGCUCUUUAGAUGACACCAUCCUUCCCAGCAUCCUCCGAUUCAUCAUAAACCUACUGUAUUACUGUUAGUCAUUACUCAGUCAUCCUUGACCUCAUUUGCUGCAGUUGCAUCAGUAAUUCAUUCUUAAUGACGGCACUGCAGCAGCUAUCCACAUCCUCUAUUACAUCCAUACUGCAAGAACUAUAUUUCACAUGCAGUAAAAUGUGAACACAGAAGAGAACAUGUCAUCUCUCUGUAUAAUGUGUGCACUGAACUGCUCAUGAGUAAUGCUAUAGAGGAAAGAACAUCUUCCUCCCACUAGUUACUGAAUCUAUAAAUAGGAUGCAGAAUGGUAUAGUCGUGAUGAUCAAUAUGCCAAACAUGAUGUCAUUGGUGUUGCUACUGUUUUAUAUUAAUAUAGUUGGAAUUUAAAACCUUUGUUUGUUAUUCUGUUUGGUCUAAAAACAACUACUUGUUGAUCUUAAUUUCCCCCAUUUGUUCUUGACUUGCUUGAAAAUAUUUGUAUAAUGUGACUCUGGAAUGAGCUUUCCAAAGUAUUAAAAAAAGAACCCCGA
Long non-coding RNA from Sebastes umbrosus (honeycomb rockfish), 1149 nucleotides. RefSeq lists it as uncharacterized. The transcript has 2 exons. The record is from RefSeq and is a predicted model, not a curated record. Lineage: Eukaryota; Metazoa; Chordata; Actinopteri; Perciformes; Sebastidae.